This 830-nucleotide ribosomal RNA is filed under the name Curtobacterium sp. MH16. RNAcentral's name for it is "bacterial SSU rRNA". It matches the Rfam family "Bacterial small subunit ribosomal RNA", at positions 623 to 1451 of the family's 1533-position model. Lineage: Bacteria; Bacillati; Actinomycetota; Actinomycetes; Micrococcales; Microbacteriaceae. The record is from RNAcentral.
GCAGUGGGUACGGGCAGACUAGAGUGCGGUAGGGGAGAUUGGAAUUCCUGGUGUAGCGGUGGAAUGCGCAGAUAUCAGGAGGAACACCGAUGGCGAAGGCAGAUCUCUGGGCCGUAACUGACGCUGAGGAGCGAAAGCGUGGGGAGCGAACAGGAUUAGAUACCCUGGUAGUCCACGCCGUAAACGUUGGGCGCUAGAUGUAGGGACCUUUCCACGGUUUCUGUGUCGUAGCUAACGCAUUAAGCGCCCCGCCUGGGGAGUACGGCCGCAAGGCUAAAACUCAAAGGAAUUGACGGGGGCCCGCACAAGCGGCGGAGCAUGCGGAUUAAUUCGAUGCAACGCGAAGAACCUUACCAAGGCUUGACAUACACCGGAAACGGCCAGAGAUGGUUGCCCCCUUGUGGUCGGUGUACAGGUGGUGCAUGGUUGUCGUCAGCUCGUGUCGUGAGAUGUUGGGUUAAGUCCCGCAACGAGCGCAACCCUCGUUCUAUGUUGCCAGCGCGUUAUGGCGGGGACUCAUAGGAGACUGCCGGGGUCAACUCGGAGGAAGGUGGGGAUGACGUCAAAUCAUCAUGCCCCUUAUGUCUUGGGCUUCACGCAUGCUACAAUGGCCGGUACAAAGGGCUGCGAUACCGUAAGGUGGAGCGAAUCCCAAAAAGCCGGUCUCAGUUCGGAUUGAGGUCUGCAACUCGACCUCAUGAAGUCGGAGUCGCUAGUAAUCGCAGAUCAGCAACGCUGCGGUGAAUACGUUCCCGGGCCUUGUACACACCGCCCGUCAAGUCAUGAAAGUCGGUAACACCCGAAGCCGGUGGCCUAACCCUUGUGAAGGA